GGUAGUGUAUCCAAGAGGACAAAGGAUGCUGACUGUAAAUCAGAGGCCAACUGGCUUCGGGAGUUCGAAUCUCUCCACUACCGC
Molecule: transfer RNA, 84 nt
Filed under: Arthrobacter phage Atuin
Lineage: Duplodnaviria; Heunggongvirae; Uroviricota; Caudoviricetes
Description: tRNA-Tyr
Rfam family: tRNA
About the family: Transfer RNA (tRNA) molecules are approximately 80 nucleotides in length. Their secondary structure includes four short double-helical elements and three loops (D, anti-codon, and T loops). Further hydrogen bonds mediate the characteristic L-shaped molecular structure. tRNAs have two regions of fundamental functional importance: the anti-codon, which is responsible for specific mRNA codon recognition, and the 3' end, to which the tRNAs corresponding amino acid is attached (by aminoacyl-tRNA synthetases). tRNAs cope with the degeneracy of the genetic code in two manners: having more than one tRNA (with a specific anti-codon) for a particular amino acid; and 'wobble' base-pairing, i.e. permitting non-standard base-pairing at the 3rd anti-codon position.
Source: RNAcentral